AACGUAGGAGGCAAGCGUUAUCCGGAUUUACUGGGCGUAAAGCGCGUGCAGGCGGUUUGACAAGUUGGAUGUGAAAGCUCCUGGCUCAACUGGGAGAGGUCGUUCAAAACUGUCAGACUUGAGGGCGGUAGAGGGAGGUGGAAUUCCGUGUGUAGUGGUGAAAUGCGUAGAUAUACGGAGGAACACCAGUGGCGAAAGCGGCCUCCUGGACCGAUCCUGACGCUCAGACGCGAAAGCUAGGGGAGCAAACGGG
This 253-nucleotide ribosomal RNA is filed under the name uncultured bacterium. RNAcentral's name for it is "partial 16S ribosomal RNA". It matches the Rfam family "Bacterial small subunit ribosomal RNA", at positions 524 to 776 of the family's 1533-position model. The record is from RNAcentral. RNAcentral also lists the same sequence under 1 other name.